AUCUUCUCUGAUGAGGAGUUUCAGAUCAGAGAAGUGGGCCAGUGACUGGCCCUGGACGUAGACAGCCUUUUAGUCCCUUGUCCUCUGUGUUUUUGUCUGAGAGUGGCCUUUAAUUAAUAUUGACUAAAUGUGAAUUAGGUCAUUAAAUCUUAAUAAAGAUGAGGAAUGGGUACAGCUUCUAAGAAUGAUGCUGGAAGAAAUGAUGUGAAGCUUCAGGUGAGAGUUCGGGCUAGACAUAAAGAAGAACUUUUUUCUUUUUUAGCAAAGGUCAAACUUGAUGACUGAAGAAACAAAGAACCUAUUUGUCUAGAAAUUAAAAAAAAUGAAAAUCCAUUUUCUCAAAUGAGUCAGGCUGGGUCUGGGGUGGUGGUAGGGACAAGACGGCAUUUCUGAAUUCCCCUUGUCUUGGGUUAUGCUAUGUCUUCUGUCAUUCUGGGGUAUGUGGUGGCACUUAGAUCAAGACCACAGACAAGGUCAUCAAAGAAACAGCUGUGAAAUGCUGCCUGUGAGUGGCAUUCUGUGGGCGGGAUGUGGGAAGUAAAGCCAUGUGGUCAUCAGUGCUGUGACAGCUGCAGUGAGAGGAGAGUUAGUAUGACGAGGCUGCAAUGAAAGAGCAAGCAGGGCAGGUCAGGACCCUGGGCGUUGCUCAUCAGUGGGGCUCUGACACAUGUGACCUAGGAGUGGUUGAUCUCCAAUACUGGGAAUCUGCAUGAGACCUGACAGUGGCAGCCAAGAGAAGCCAGAGGCUCCCCUAGACCCAGUCCACACAGCUGGUGCCACCGAAGACAUUUCUGAUCUCAGUGAAAACAUCAUGGAAGGAGGGCUGGCCACAAACCAACACUUGAGGAAAUAAAGGUGAUUAUGUAGACACUGUGAUAAAAACUGGGAAUACAAAAUGCUUGCCGUAUAUUUCUUUUCAAAAUCAGUGUUCUAGUGUCUUUUUAGAGUAGACAGUGUGGAAUAAGCUGCUGAAGUUUGGUCCUGGGUAAGGCUGUACUAAGGAUAGAC
RNAcentral lists this long non-coding RNA (1008 nucleotides) under Callithrix jacchus (white-tufted-ear marmoset). Its description in RNAcentral is "lncRNA (ENSCJAG00000083453.1)". The record is from RNAcentral. Lineage: Eukaryota; Metazoa; Chordata; Mammalia; Primates; Cebidae.